AUUCAUGCAAUUGAUUACGCACAUUUAUCUGCGGUUUCCUACAUUAUCAGUUGCUAAUGUCAUGUUGCUCAAAAUGUAUUAUACAGUUUUCUGUGCAAUAGUCUUACCCCCCAAAACAUCUAGUCUUUAGUUCAUCGUAUAAGUCAUUAAAUGCAAAAUGGUUAAUCUAGUUGUCAUAAACUGCCAAGCACACUUUUUAUUUGUAUUUUUACACACUAUUAUUAGAUGUUUUGUCAAUUUGGCAUGAAUUGUGCAAGUGAAUCUUUACUAAUGAAGAGAAUGUAGAUGAUAAACCAAUGAUAAACCAUUUCUCUGAAAUAGCUCAAAGGUUCAUCUCAUGAAUCUUCAGUAGGAAAGCUUAUACUGUAUAGACAAAGGACAACACAAGAGUUACAAAUUCUGAAAAUGGAAUUAUUUUCAUCUUUGUUCCCAUAUUUCCUUUUCUAUAUCACAAUGGCAUUGUAAAAGUAUUUUUUAUUUUUUUAUUUUUUUGGUCAGACCACUAGUAAAAGUGUAACUGGGAAUUCUAUCCAGUCUCUUUCAAUCAACAUCCCACAAACAGUAAUGUGUAAAUGUGUAGUUUUGAAAUGGAUAUAUGGCAUACAUAAGCAUAUGGCAUACUGUUCAAUACAGUAGUUUACAUCAGAACAUACAUCAGUUAUGUUGACAACAUGACUAAGCAAUUUGACUGUCUUAUCCGUAAACUAUGACACAAGGACUUGUCAUUCUGAUGGCACUGACAUGUUCAUUGACACAGAUAUUUAUUUUUGAGAGAUGAACUAAGGAUUUUGAGCAAGAGACUGGCUUUUGCAGGUCAUCCAUUGUGUUUUGAUAUUUGUACGAGUUGUUUUGAGAAAUGCACUUACUGUUUUGCAAAUCUCAAGAAUGAUUAGAGAAAUGUACCAAAGCGACUGAGAAAAACUGUAACUGUGAAUUCUAUCCAGCCUCAAUCAGUAUCCCACAUACAGUAAUGUGUACAUUGUUACUUUUGAAAUGGAUAUAUGGCAUAUGGCAUACUGUUCAAUACAGUAACUGUCAUCCAAAACAGUUGCUAUAGUUUACAUCAGAACAUCCCUCCAGAGUACACUGUUAUAUCUUAUCUGUAAACUAUGACACAAGGACUUGUCAUUCUGAUGGCACUGACAUGUUCAUUUAUUUUUGAGAGAUGCAAGAGACUGGCUUUUGCAGGUAAUCCAUGGUGUUCUGCUAUUUGUACGAGUUGUUUUGAGAAAUGCAAUUACUGUUUUGCAAAUCUCAAGGAUGAUUCGAGAAAUGUACCAAAGCAACUGAGAAAAACUGUAACAUUAGCACAGAAUCAGUUCAGAAUCAAUCACCAAAAGAAUCAGUUCAGUUCAGACGUGCUCUGUGUCAGUCUGCUUCACGCUGAAUCACGCAUGCGCAGUAUCAUCAGCUCCUCGGUCCUCGAAUCGGAGUCGGACGCGUCCGACAGAAACAGUUCUCGGUUCAGUGUACUGGUGAUCCAAAAACCGAUGCACCCGGUUCGUGACUCAAGAAUGAGAAACUCUCCGGCAUUGGGCAUGUAAGUUCGUCUGGCUCUGCUGCAAAAAUCUUCCCCCGGCCUUUAUUUGUCCGUGUGGACCACGCCCCCGACCACUAUAAGAGGCCCGAUGCUCUGACGGAACACUCAUACCCUACCCAUCAGAAUGGGAUACCUUCGGUUAAUGUACAUGCUGCGCAGCAGUGAAAUUGGUGGAAUUGUGCAUGCGUUAAAUUUAAACAUAAUUUCAGCAAGAUUACAAGCGGUAAACAGCAUACCCUUGUAUAAACUGUAUUUUUAUUAAACCAGGGCCUAUCAAAAAAGCAUAUCCCUGUAUAAACUGUAUUUUUAAUACAAAGUAGGCAAAAUUGACAGACUCCGCUAUAAAACUCAACUUCCGGUAUGCUAUUCUGACAAAGUAUGCUACAUCGACAGAACACCGGCGUUUAUUUGACUACCGGUUUUUAUUUGAGGAAUUAUGGUAAAUGCAGCUUGUGACCUAAUUGAAAGCUCUGUGUAGCUUCAACUGAUGAGACUUUGACAACUGCCACAGGAACUUGUGAGUGAAUAUCAUUUUGUAAAUUAAACAUAUACUUGACAAGCACGCAGAUGCAUUUUGCAUAUUUCACUUUAAACUGAUUCAAAGUAAAAAACAAACAACAAGAAAAAAAACCUUUCUUACUGAGUUCAGUGUAUUUCACUGCUUUUUUAAAAUGUGACUGUAACUGUUCAGUCAAAACAUUAGCAGACAAAUCAUAAGUACAGCUAAACUCUAUAAUUGAUCAUUGUCUGUGGAAACUAACCUAGACUUAAACACUAAUGUCUGUAAUCAUCAUGCAGUAAUUGAGUUUGUACUCUAAUCUGAUUUAAUUUGAGAUCUUUUCUGUUGCAGCUGUUCCUCACACUGUUCACACUCACUCUGAAGGUUGUUCAUUCACUCACUACACACAACUGCUAACUGAGUAUUUGCAAAUCUAACACAAACCUUGAAAUGUUCUCGUUUCAUGAUCAUAUAUUACGUACAUGGAACAGUGCUGUGAAAAUGUAUUUUCCCCAUCUUUAUUUUUCUCUUUUUGAACAUAUUUUAUAUUUUAUUUUAGAUCUUCAAAUGAAAUGCAACAAAGGCAACAUAUAAUUUUUUUUAUUUUUAUUUAUUUUUUUAACCCCCCAUACUAGGAUGGGGACAAACACUUUUCACAGCAAUGAAUCAUAAUUAAAAAAUGUGAACAUUAUUUAUCUGAUUUAGUGCAAUUAUGCAUUUUCAUUACCUUGUUGCAUUAUAAGAAUGGCUUUUCACUGUUAUUGAACCAUGAAUUCUACUUCCACUCUACUUUUUUAAAUUUUUUUCAGACUCAUGGCGUUAUCUUUGUCUGAACUCAUAGGAUUCAUCUGUCUAUGCUGCUUCACCAGUUCUGCUGAUGUUCUCACAGAGCUGAACUACAGUACACCUCCUGCCAGAUAGACAACUUCUCUUUUAACCUCCUCUGACUGCCAAAACAUGGAUGACCUGUUUACUUUCUUUUCCUUUCACUAAAGUAUUAAAUCUUUAGUCUACAUGUA
Molecule: long non-coding RNA, 3058 nt
Organism: Carassius gibelio (silver crucian carp)
Lineage: Eukaryota; Metazoa; Chordata; Actinopteri; Cypriniformes; Cyprinidae
Exons: 2
Source: RefSeq, a predicted model, not a curated record